RNAcentral lists this ribosomal RNA (425 nucleotides) under uncultured bacterium. RNAcentral describes it as "bacterial SSU rRNA". It matches the Rfam family "Bacterial small subunit ribosomal RNA", at positions 30 to 456 of the family's 1533-position model. The record is from RNAcentral.
AUUGAACGCUGGCGGCGUGCUUAACACAUGCAAGUCGUGCGGUAACAGGCGUAGCAAUACGUGCUGACGAGCGGCGAACGGGUGCGUAAUACAUGGGAAUCUGCCUUUUAGUGGGGAAUAACCCGGCGAAAGCCGGGCUAAUGCCGCAUAAGAUCUUCGGAUGAAAGCGGGGGAUCGUAAGACCUCGCGCUGAUAGAUGAGCCCAUGCCGGAUUAGCUAGUGGUGAGGUAACGGCUCACCAAGGCGACGAUCCGUAGCUGGUCUGAGAGGACGGCCAGCCACACUGGGACUGAGACACGGCCCAGACUCCUACGGGAGGCAGCAGUGGGGAAUAUUGGACAAUGGGGAAACCCUGAUCCAGCGACGCCGCGUGUGUGAAGAAGGCCUGCGGGUUGUAAAGCACUUUCGUGGGAACGAAAUAUGCC